AGAGUUUGAUCAUGGCUCAGAUUGAACGCUGGCGGAAUGCUUUACACAUGCAAGUCGAACGGCAGCACGGGAGCUUGCUCCUGGUGGCGAGUGGCGAACGGGUGAGUAAUAUAUCGGAACGUACCCCGUCUGGGGGAUAACUCUCCGAAAGGAGUGCUAAUACCGCAUACGACCUGAGGGUGAAAGCGGGGGACCUGCAAGGGCCUCGCGCGAUGGGAGCGGCCGAUAUCGGAUUAGCUAGUUGGUGAGGUAAAGGCUCACCAAGGCGACGAUCCGUAGCGGGUCUGAGAGGACGACCCGCCACACUGGAACUGAGACACGGUCCAGACUCCUACGGGAGGCAGCAGUGGGGAAUUUUGGACAAUGGGGAAACCCUGAUCCAGCCAUUCCGCGUGAGUGAAGAAGGCCUUCGGGUUGUAAAGCUCUUUCAGCAGGAACGAAACGGUAGGCUUUAAUACAGUCUGCUAAUGACGGUACCUGCAGAAGAAGCACCGGCUAACUACGUG
RNAcentral lists this ribosomal RNA (506 nucleotides) under uncultured bacterium. RNAcentral's name for it is "bacterial SSU rRNA". It matches the Rfam family "Bacterial small subunit ribosomal RNA", at positions 8 to 507 of the family's 1533-position model. The record is from RNAcentral.